Molecule: unclassified non-coding RNA, 477 nt
Filed under: Hevea brasiliensis (rubber tree)
Lineage: Eukaryota; Viridiplantae; Streptophyta; Magnoliopsida; Malpighiales; Euphorbiaceae
Source: RNAcentral
GAGAGAGAGAGAGAGAGAGGGGUUAUAUAUUCACCAAAAAGAUGGAUAUAUAUGUAGUGAACAGUACCAUUCAGAAUACAUGUCAUUGUCAUAUUUAUUGUAGGGGCCGAAGCAAAUUGUUCAUUUGUCUAGAUGUGUCAAUUUGUGUCUCCGUGCAUUUGCAACCAUACUAGUGCAUGUGAAUGCCACCAAUAACCAAUGAGUGUAAAAAAGCAACACAACAUAACCACUGUUAGCCACCAAUGAGAAAGACUAAUGACCAACCAAAGUUAGAUCACACAUCUCAUCAAUCUAUAUCAAACAGGCUGGCAGAAAAUUUUAUUAUUUUUAUCAAUUUUCAUUCUCAACCUUAAUGGACAGAAAACCCCACUUUUUUUUAUUUCUUAAAUUCAAAGAUAAACAAUAUCUAGAACUAACUGGACAAAUAUUCCAAAUAUUAAAUAAGCAUUUUGAGUCAACUUACAAGUUGGAGUAGCA